RNAcentral lists this long non-coding RNA (553 nucleotides) under Homo sapiens (human). RNAcentral's name for it is "HSALNT0404757". Lineage: Eukaryota; Metazoa; Chordata; Mammalia; Primates; Hominidae. The record is from RNAcentral.
GGGCCGGCUUGGGGCUUGGUUCUAUGUCCCUGCGGGUCGGUGCGAGGGCGAAGAGGAACCCGUGGGCCUCGGGGGAUCCCGGGGGGCCGGACCAGUGUCCCCUAGUUGUGGGAGCAGACGCGUGGGCGCAUCGCGGGCGGGCAGGGCCUGAAGUGCAGAAGUUUAUACGAGACCUAGUUUCCAAGGAAGAACUCACUGAUUCCGCGAGGGAGAAGGCAUAAUGGAUGAUGGUCUUCAGCCUUAAGGGUACUUCAGUCUUAACUGUGUGUUACAAAGUUUGAAAGAGAGGGUUCCCUAUGAAUAAGAAGCGCACUUGAAAGAACAGCUGUCUGGUCUAACCUCUCACUGGUGCUUCAGAGGAGGAAAACAGGUCACAGCUAUGUUUCCAGUGUCCUCUGGGUGUUUCCAAGAGCAACAGGAAACGAAUAAAUCUCUGCUUAUCCAAAUGUUCCGUUGGUCCCUGUUCAUCCCGCCCUGCAGUUCUCCUUGACUGAUUCAGCCCUUUGUGGUUUGCAGUCCUGUUUCUCUACAGCUUGGACCCCUUCAGUCUUUC